GUUGCUCCCCGCCGGGGGCGCCCGCGCGCGGCACUUCCUGGUCUGCCCCGCAGCCUCCGCCAGCGCCCCUGGCUCCCAGCCCUGCGCCCCAACUCUGGCGCCUCUAUGUCGGUGCGCGCCCGCACCCCUCUCCUUCCCAGCGCCCAGGGUCCCUGUCCCGGGCAGCCUCGCCCUCACCCCGAGCCAGUCCACUCUGCCAGCGUGGCAGCCCGACUCCCCCCCUUUCCCGGGGGGUGCGGCGCCGGGGCCCCGGGUGAGGCGGCCGCGGGAACGCGAGGGGGGCAUCCCCGAGGCGCGGGCCGACCCUGCGCAAGUUCUCUCCCGGCUCGGAGACCCCCGGUGGGUCCCGCGGGCUCAGCCGGCGGCACUGCAGUCCCCGGGCGGCGGGAGCCGGCGAGGCCAGCGCCAGGCCUGGGAGGGACCGCGCCGGGGCCGGGGUGCGGGGGUGCGCGGGGCGGUACCGCUUUAAAUGCACUUGACUCACCUGCUCCGGCGCGUCCCUGCUCCCCGCUGACAGCUGGGGGCUUUGUUUUCUCCUCCCACCGGCGGCCCCGCCCCCGCCCCGCCCACGUGACUCGCCGUCCGCCGCCGCCGCUCGGCGGGUCCGCCCCCGGGAGCCCGGCCCGCGCCGCUCCGCCCCUUCCCGGGGGUGCGGGGCGGAGACCCCAGCGGAGAGAGGGACCCGCCUGCGGGCGGUUGGGAGGUGGCACGCUGGUUAGGACCCUAGGGAGCCAGGGUCAACUUAUGCUUCAGCCAAGGUCAGUCAGCUCCAGGCAUUGAUCAUUGAAGCUCUUCUGUGACAUAGGAGCCAGGGAGUGUCUUCCAUCUUGAUUCUACCCUGGGGACACACCAACCAUUAAUAACUCAGAGUGCUUGCUAACCUGUGGUACUGCCUAAGUAUAAAUCAUAGCCUCAACAGACAUGCUGCAGUGAGCCACUUAUGAAUGCAUUGUAAUGCCAUGCAGACUGAGAUGGAAAUGUUCAUUACCAAGAUAUGACAGCAUUUAUCAAGAUGGGGCAUGCAGGAAGCAGCUGAUCAGUGAUUCUCUCUCAUCACUGCUGUUUCUAUCUCUCUCUCCCUCUCCAUUCCUCUCUGAAGUCAAUAAAAAAUAUAUUAAAAAAGAAAUCCUAUGUAAU
This is a long non-coding RNA of Myotis myotis, 1137 nucleotides long. RefSeq lists it as uncharacterized. The record is from RefSeq and is a predicted model, not a curated record. NCBI's taxonomy places the organism in Eukaryota, Metazoa, Chordata, Mammalia, Chiroptera, Vespertilionidae. The transcript is spliced from 3 exons.